Molecule: long non-coding RNA, 3610 nt
Organism: Uranotaenia lowii
Lineage: Eukaryota; Metazoa; Arthropoda; Insecta; Diptera; Culicidae
Exons: 9
Source: RefSeq, a predicted model, not a curated record
UACCCUGUCAGGAAGGUUUGCUCAAUCGGGCCGAUUGCAAAACAGAGAUGCCAGCACUCGAAUUCUACCGGUUGGAAUUCGUUCCGUUUUCGGUUCGAUUUUCAUCCGCCUGCUCGAUUGCUCGAAAACAGACGAUAUUUUUUGCAGUGCUGCGAUGAACAAAACGAAACACGAGCAGUUUUCAAUCGCAGCAAUCCGGUGGCGUGUUUUGUUUUGGCGCGUGAUUGUUGUGAAAUUUGUCGCAGUUAUUUUUGUUUGUAUAUUUCCGCUGUUCCUGAAUUCAGAAAUGCUUUGAGCGCUUUAUAAGUAGAAAAAGCCAUUGUCCGGCGAGCCUUCCGACGGAAGGCUCGAUUAUAAGAAGAAGAAGGAGGAGAAGUCCGGCGAUAAUUUGAUGAAAAGAAAGAAAACAUCGACCCAUGCAAACAAAGCUUCCAAGGAAAUGUCCACACGGUACGGGCUCUGGUGGAAUGUCAUCCGAACAUCGUAUCCGGAUCCGGAUUCCAGACACGCCUAGAGGUGGUGGCUUCAGUUGAUUACUUUUAAUCAGUUUUCGGUGUUAUAUUUCUAAGUGGAAAGUAUGCCAAAAAUCUGAAGCCUUAAAAGUACUGAAAAAGAAAAUCCCUAAUAUUACAUGACACCACACGAUUUUCUAAUGUAAAAUUCCGUGUAAUUUUACGAACAAAAUCUGAUUUCUUAACAGAACUAAAAUUUUAUGACUUUAAUAUUAUAUGACAAUUUUCUUGUGUAAACUUUACAACGUUGAAUAUUAAAACAGGAUUGAAAUUGAACUGAAUUAAUAUUACAUGACAUGAAUCACGGUUUAACACACAAAUUUACACAACAUUCAAAAUACACAAAAAAUAAAACAAAAUUAAAUAAAAUUCAGUAUUCACAAUUCGGAUUCUGAGUGCAUUUUUCUCAAAAACAGAACCAGUUAUGUGUUAAAUCCAAAAUCCAACAACAACAACAACAACAACCAGUUAUGUGUUAUCGUGCUGAUAGUGGUCUGGUCGAAUUCGUGGUAAGCCGAAGUGGGAAGAGCCGGAAGUUCAGCAAAUCCAGCGGCUUUGCAUAACGGAGGCAGGCACUUUGUCAGGUGGACACGCCACAGCAGCAGAUGCCGUCGGUGGGAACAACACGAUGGUUGGCGAAGGUGGUGUUGGGAAGAAAAUGCAAGCCGGAACAUAUUGUCAGCACCUUAAUAGUUUUCCAAAAGGUUAGAGGGAAUUGCAAAAAUCAUCGCAAAUGUAUUGAGAAACUUGGCUGGAUGAUGACUUACAACGCGAUCUGUGCUGCUAAACAAAGUUUCGCACCAGGAACAGCUAAAUCAACGUUGCCUAUCGGUUUGGAACAAUGCUGAGGUCCAUUAUAGCUAGAAGAUUCAAGAGAACUUUCAAUGAUAAACCGCAGCGGUUUUGAAAUAUGAAUCAAUCUGUGCACCAGAAGAUGUCAACAAAAGUGAUAAGCUCUGUUCCUGCUGCAAACAUCGAGAAGAGCAAGAACCUGCAAAUUGCAAUCGACAGGAGUCGUCGGUAGAGUCCCAUAGGUGCUUUUUUAAUGUUUCCGAGAGCAGACGCCCAUCGAUGAAGAUCAUUGGGCGAGGUGACCAAAGGCUUUUUGCAUCAGAACGAGCGCAAUGCAUGUGCCGAUACUACCGAAGGAACCUCUGCCUGUUCGAUCGUCCAGAAGAAUUUUUGCGACACUACCGCGGCCAGUUGACGUCAGAUUGUGCACCGCUGCUCUUCAAGAAUGAGAAACAAAUUAGCCGGAAGGCCCGGGAUAUUACCGCUAAGUGCUUGCCCUUGAUGUUCCUGUCCUACAAUUGUAGAGUUCAAGAAAGCGGAAAAAUCUGGCUGGAGCACAACAAAGAUGUGACCAAGCAGUUGGUUGGAUUUUGUGAGCAGGGUUCGUUCCGGUGGAUUUUGUAAGCAGGGUUCGUUCCGGUGUUGCCAAGCCAGAAGUAUUUUGCUUUCGUGAGUGGAAAAUAGCAUAGAUUUGGCGAUUAUUGCUCAAAUUCUAAAUUUAACGCGAUAGCAAUAUUCGGAACACAGCUGUCGACGACGACGACGAUGAUGUGGGCAUCAUCGUGCUUGUACUCAGUACUGCUGGUGGUUUGAGCUGCUUCCACCCACAAUUUUCGUGUUGUCUGAGCAGUCGUUUUUAACCAAUAGUUUAGGCUGACCUGCAUUAUUAUAAACAACAGUUCGUUAUUCUGAGAUGGCCCCACAAGCUGCAUCCCCCCCCCCUCCCCCGACUCUGAUUUAAUCCCAACUAGUCCGUGUUCAUACUCCAUGGAUCAUCAGACAGUCUACGAAGCCCGCCCGAUCGAGUGAGGCGAUUUUCAAAUAGAAUACGAUGUGGAUCCUAUUUUGCAAAACAAAAUAGAGCUACCCUUCCAGAAUCGAACGCUUGACGAAAUUUAUACACGGGUUUUUUGGCACGGUCAAAGGAUUUCUGAUUUCAAAUUUAGUAGCAGACGACAGACAAAGUGAUAGUCCAAUAUUUUUGCAAUUAUCACUUAAUAAUGACUUCAGAAGCGCAUCUGGAAAAUGCUUGCAAUUGACUUUUAUACAAACUGUUCAUGACAUGUGCCAAGUUGAAUGCGAAACGGAGUUCGUAUGGGAUCAGCUAGUUUUAUAUAAAUAAGUUGUAAAUUGGUCGCAGUUUUGUUCACAGUUGACAAGAAUAGUUCCUUACACUACUUGAGAUAACCUAAUCUAUGGCUGACACGAAGUCUGAAUCAUCGUUGAAGAGCGGCAUUACUAUAGGUGGCGCACAUAAGUUUGCACCGGAAGGGCCGCGAUAGAUCGAAAAAGCAAGUUGUCUUUAGAUUUACAGAAGUUUCCUACCGGGCAACGACGAACGGAACAAUCUAAUCUGAUUUACCGUGAUGCAGCAGAGUUUGAUCAAGACUGAUGGAUUUAAGCUGGACAGGAGUAUAAGAAUAGAUGAUAUCCAAACAGGAAGUCAAACAGCAGAGCAGUGAUUGCAGCCAUUAGGAACUCGGCCUCAAUGUCGAUAGAUAUCUGACACCAAAGGUGCGAAAAAACUUGAACAUACUCUCCGAAACCACAAAUUGUACCACAACGAUAACAGGAAUCAUAAGAUUUUUUUAUUUAAGCGGAUUGUUAGCAUUAACUUUAGAUUUCAGCAAAUAUUUAUUACCAGUAGUAAAAUCUUCUUUUUUUUUCAAACUUAUUAUGGACAUCAGUUUGUAUUACAUGAGAGUUAUUCAAAAAAUGAUUUGGAUUCGCGCAAAGUAAGACUCGUCUCAUAUAUCAAAAGUAGAAGAAAAUUGUAAUUCAUGUACCUGCCAGGGAAACUAUCCAUAAUUGUACUUAAAUUAAAAGAUUAGAUGAAUUUUUAAUAACUUAUGUUAGCUAUGAACACUCAAUACCCAUAGUCAUGGUUAUUUAAUUUAAUGGUAUUAUUAUUGUGUUUUUUUUAUCAAACUGCUUUGGAGUCAUAUUUUGUAACAACACAAAAAAACAUAUCAAGGCAAAUCAGAUAUUAUUUUGUCUUACUCAAAGUCAAGAAACAUCAGAAGAAAAAUUCGAUGAUAGAUUUUUGUAAAUGUUAAUUAUUAUUUGAUUAUUUAUAUUGAUACAAU